This 1378-nucleotide ribosomal RNA is filed under the name Enterococcus durans. RNAcentral describes it as "bacterial SSU rRNA". It matches the Rfam family "Bacterial small subunit ribosomal RNA", at positions 74 to 1432 of the family's 1533-position model. Lineage: Bacteria; Bacillati; Bacillota; Bacilli; Lactobacillales; Enterococcaceae. The record is from RNAcentral.
CGGAGCUUGCUCCACCGGAAAAAGAAGAGUGGCGAACGGGUGAGUAACACGUGGGUAACCUGCCCAUCAGAAGGGGAUAACACUUGGAAACAGGUGCUAAUACCGUAUAACAAUCGAAACCGCAUGGUUUUGAUUUGAAAGGCGCUUUCGGGUGUCGCUGAUGGAUGGACCCGCGGUGCAUUAGCUAGUUGGUGAGGUAACGGCUCACCAAGGCCACGAUGCAUAGCCGACCUGAGAGGGUGAUCGGCCACAUUGGGACUGAGACACGGCCCAAACUCCUACGGGAGGCAGCAGUAGGGAAUCUUCGGCAAUGGACGAAAGUCUGACCGAGCAACGCCGCGUGAGUGAAGAAGGUUUUCGGAUCGUAAAACUCUGUUGUUAGAGAAGAACAAGGAUGAGAGUAACUGUUCAUCCCUUGACGGUAUCUAACCAGAAAGCCACGGCUAACUACGUGCCAGCAGCCGCGGUAAUACGUAGGUGGCAAGCGUUGUCCGGAUUUAUUGGGCGUAAAGCGAGCGCAGGCGGUUUCUUAAGUCUGAUGUGAAAGCCCCCGGCUCAACCGGGGAGGGUCAUUGGAAACUGGGAGACUUGAGUGCAGAAGAGGAGAGUGGAAUUCCAUGUGUAGCGGUGAAAUGCGUAGAUAUAUGGAGGAACACCAGUGGCGAAGGCGGCUCUCUGGUCUGUAACUGACGCUGAGGCUCGAAAGCGUGGGGAGCAAACAGGAUUAGAUACCCUGGUAGUCCACGCCGUAAACGAUGAGUGCUAAGUGUUGGAGGGUUUCCGCCCUUCAGUGCUGCAGCUAACGCAUUAAGCACUCCGCCUGGGGAGUACGACCGCAAGGUUGAAACUCAAAGGAAUUGACGGGGGCCCGCACAAGCGGUGGAGCAUGUGGUUUAAUUCGAAGCAACGCGAAGAACCUUACCAGGUCUUGACAUCCUUUGACCACUCUAGAGAUAGAGCUUCCCCUUCGGGGGCAAAGUGACAGGUGGUGCAUGGUUGUCGUCAGCUCGUGUCGUGAGAUGUUGGGUUAAGUCCCGCAACGAGCGCAACCCUUAUUGUUAGUUGCCAUCAUUUAGUUGGGCACUCUAGCAAGACUGCCGGUGACAAACCGGAGGAAGGUGGGGAUGACGUCAAAUCAUCAUGCCCCUUAUGACCUGGGCUACACACGUGCUACAAUGGGAAGUACAACGAGUCGCGAAGUCGCGAGGCUAAGCUAAUCUCUUAAAGCUUCUCUCAGUUCGGAUUGUAGGCUGCAACUCGCCUACAUGAAGCCGGAAUCGCUAGUAAUCGCGGAUCAGCACGCCGCGGUGAAUACGUUCCCGGGCCUUGUACACACCGCCCGUCACACCACGAGAGUUUGUAACACCCGAAGUCGGUG